RNAcentral lists this ribosomal RNA (480 nucleotides) under uncultured bacterium. RNAcentral's name for it is "SSU rRNA". It matches the Rfam family "Bacterial small subunit ribosomal RNA", at positions 26 to 518 of the family's 1533-position model. The record is from RNAcentral.
AGGAUUAACGCUGGCGGCGUGCAUAAAACAUGCAAGUCGAGCGCGGUAUCUAGGCUUCGGUUUAGAUAUCUAGCGGCGAACGGGUGAGUAACACGUGAGAAACCUACCUUAGAGCCCGGGAUAGCUCUGGGAAACCAGAAUUAAUACCGGAUGUGGUUGCGACGAGACAUCUCGACGUAAGUAAAGGGGCAACCCACUCAAUGACGGUCUCGCGGUCUAUUAGCUUGUUGGUGGGGUAACGGCCUACCAAGGCGAUGAUGGAUAGCUGGUCUGAGAGGACGAUCAGCCACACUGGGACUGAGACACGGCCCAGACUCCUACGGGAGGCAGCAGUUAGGAAUUUUCCGCAAUGGGCGAAAGCCUGACGGAGCAACGCCGCGUGAGUGAUGAAGACCGUUAGGGUUGUAAAGCUCUGUCGGAGGGAAGAAGUAAUGACGGUACCCUCCAAGAACGCCCGGCUAACUACGUGCCAGCAGCCGC